Molecule: ribosomal RNA, 253 nt
Filed under: uncultured bacterium
Lineage: Bacteria
Description: partial 16S ribosomal RNA
Rfam family: Bacterial small subunit ribosomal RNA
Source: RNAcentral
GACGAGGUCCACAAACGUUAUUCGGAAUUACUGGGCUUAAAGCGUGCGUAGGCGGCUUAGCAAGUCGGGUGUGAAAGCCCUCGGCUCAACCGAGGAAUUGCGCCCGAAACUGCUGAGCUUGAGUGAGACAGAGGUGAGCGGAACUGAUGGUGGAGCGGUGAAAUGCGUUGAUAUCAUCAGGAACACCGGUGGCGAAGGCGGCUCACUGGGUCUCAACUGACGCUGAGGUACGAAAGCCAGGGUAGCGAACGGG